Molecule: ribosomal RNA, 465 nt
Filed under: uncultured bacterium
Lineage: Bacteria
Description: partial 16S ribosomal RNA
Rfam family: Bacterial small subunit ribosomal RNA
Source: RNAcentral
GACGAACGCUGGCGGCGUGCUUAACACAUGCAAGUCGUACGGUAAGGCCCUUUCGGGGGUACACGAGUGGCGAACGGGUGAGUAACACGUGAGUAACCUGCCCACAACUUUGGGAUAACGCUAGGAAACUGGUGCUAAUACUGGAUAUGUGCUCCUGCUGCAUGGUGGGGGUUGGAAAGCUCCGGCGGUUGUGGAUGGACUCGCGGCCUAUCAGCUUGUUGGUGGGGUAGUGGCCUACCAAGGCGGCGACGGGUAGCCGGCCUGAGAGGGUGACCGGCCACAUUGGGACUGAGAUACGGCCCAGACUCCUACGGGAGGCAGCAGUGGGGAAUAUUGCACAAUGGGCGCAAGCCUGAUGCAGCAACGCCGCGGGCGGGAGGACGGCCUUCGGGUUGUAAACCGCUUUCAGCAGGGACGAAGCUUUUUGUGACGGUACCUGCAGAAGAAGCACCGGCUAACUACGUG